Non-coding RNA from Triticum aestivum (bread wheat), 137 nucleotides. NCBI's taxonomy places the organism in Eukaryota, Viridiplantae, Streptophyta, Magnoliopsida, Poales, Poaceae. The record is from Rfam.
GUAGUAUUCCCUCCGUCCCAAAAUUCUUGUCUUACAUUUGUUUAGAUAUACAGAUGUAUCUAACACUAAAAUGUAACUAGAUACAUCCGUAUUUAGACAAAUUUAAGACAAGAAUUUUGGGAUGGAGGGAGUACAAA